AUUGAACGCUGGCGGCAGGCCUCACACAUGCAAGUCGAGCGAGCGGCGGACGGGUGAGUAAUGUCUGGGAAACUGCCUGAUGGAGGGGGAUAACUACUGGAAACGGUAGCUAAUACCGCAUACCAUCAGAUGUGCCCAGAUGGGAUUAGCUAGUAGGUGGGGUAACGGCUCACCUAGGCGACUAUCCCUAGCGGGUCUGAGAGGAUGACCAGCCACCAUGGAACUGAGACACGUGCCAGACUCCAACGGGAGGCAGCAGUGGGGACUAUUGAACAAUGGGAGCAAGCCUGAUGCCGCCAUGCCGGGUGUUAGAAGAAGGCAUUAGGGUUGUAAGGCAGUGUCAGCGGGGAGGCGUUACCCGCAGAAGAAGCACCGGCUAACUCCGUACCAGCAGCAGCGGUAAUAC
This 406-nucleotide ribosomal RNA is filed under the name uncultured bacterium. RNAcentral's name for it is "partial 16S ribosomal RNA". It matches the Rfam family "Bacterial small subunit ribosomal RNA", at positions 29 to 526 of the family's 1533-position model. The record is from RNAcentral.